GGGUCUCUGGCAGUGGGGUGUAUCUGUAGGUGGUCCAGAGGGAAAGGAGAAAUUGAGGAAAGGCACUCACUCACUGCCAGCGAGAGGAGACUCUGUGUCAAUAGUGAAACACGCCUUGCUCGAGACUCCUCGGAGUGGCCAAGCAAGCACGGGCCUCUGAAAGGCCUGUAGCACAGAAAUUUGAUGUUGUGGCGAUGAUACAGCAUACUUCCUAUCACUGAACUCUCACCGUGUGGGAGUGUAUCCUUUACCUAGUUUUUCUAUUUUAAACAAA
Long non-coding RNA from Ochotona princeps (American pika), 274 nucleotides. RefSeq lists it as uncharacterized. Lineage: Eukaryota; Metazoa; Chordata; Mammalia; Lagomorpha; Ochotonidae. The record is from RefSeq and is a predicted model, not a curated record. The transcript has 3 exons.